GGGUCGGAUUGCUGGGUACCUUACUCUGAUUGAAGACUUAUCGUCAGCCUGACACGCUGAAGGUCCCCGGUUCGAACCCGGGCGGGCCCA
This 90-nucleotide transfer RNA is filed under the name Candidatus Bathyarchaeota archaeon. RNAcentral's name for it is "tRNA-Val". Lineage: Archaea; Thermoproteati; Candidatus Bathyarchaeota. The record is from RNAcentral. RNAcentral also lists the same sequence under 1 other name.